This 458-nucleotide ribosomal RNA is filed under the name uncultured bacterium. RNAcentral describes it as "partial 16S ribosomal RNA". It matches the Rfam family "Bacterial small subunit ribosomal RNA", at positions 338 to 795 of the family's 1533-position model. The record is from RNAcentral.
CCUACGGGCGGCAGCAGUGAGGAAUAUUGGUCAAUGGGCGCGAGCCUGAACCAGCCAAGUAGCGUGAAGGAUGACUGCCCUACGGGUUGUAAACUUCUUUUAUAAAGGAAUAAAGUGAGGCACGUGUGCCUUUUUGUAUGUACUUUAUGAAUAAGGAUCGGCUAACUCCGUGCCAGCAGCCGCGGUAAUACGGAGGAUCCGAGCGUUAUCCGGUUUUGUUGGGUUUAGGGGUGCGUAGGCGGAAUGCAAAGUCAGCGGUAAAAUCGCGGGGCUAAACCUCGCUCCGCCGUGGAAACUGGCGUUCUUGAGUGGGUGAGAAGUAUGCGGAAUGCGUGGUGUAGCGGUGAAAUGCAUAGAGAUCACGAAGAACUCCGAUUGCGAAGGCAGCAUACCGGCGUCCAACUGACGCUGAAGCACGAAAGCGUGGGUAUCGAACAGGAUUAGAUACCCCAGUAGUC